GAGCACGUAGGUGGGUUUGUAAGUCAGACGUGAAAGCCUUCUGUUCAACGGAAGAAUUGCAUCUGAAACUACAAACCUUGAGUGUAGGAGGGGAGAAUGGAACUUCUGGUGGAGCGGUGAAAUGCGUAGAUAUCAGAAGGAACGCCGGCGGCGAAAGCGAUUCUCUGGCCUAUUACUGACACUCAGUGUGCGAAAGCUAGGGGAGCAAACGGGAUUAGAUACCCCGGUAGUCCUAGCCGUAAACGAUGGGCACUAAGUAGAGGGG
RNAcentral lists this ribosomal RNA (265 nucleotides) under uncultured Planctomycetales bacterium. Its description in RNAcentral is "partial 16S ribosomal RNA". It matches the Rfam family "Bacterial small subunit ribosomal RNA", at positions 565 to 828 of the family's 1533-position model. The record is from RNAcentral. Lineage: Bacteria; Pseudomonadati; Planctomycetota; Planctomycetia; Planctomycetales. RNAcentral also lists the same sequence under 1 other name.